This 1346-nucleotide ribosomal RNA is filed under the name uncultured bacterium. RNAcentral's name for it is "partial 16S ribosomal RNA". It matches the Rfam family "Bacterial small subunit ribosomal RNA", at positions 28 to 1381 of the family's 1533-position model. The record is from RNAcentral.
GACGAACGCUGGCGGCGUGCUUAACACAUGCAAGUCGAACGGAAAGGCCCUGCUUUUGUGGGGUGCUCGAGUGGCGAACGGGUGAGUAACACGUGAGUAACCUGCCCUUGACUUUGGGAUAACUUCAGGAAACUGGGGCUAAUACCGGAUAGGAGCUCCUGCUGCAUGGUGGGGGUUGGAAAGUUUCGGCGGUUGGGGAUGGACUCGCGGCUUAUCAGCUUGUUGGUGGGGUAGUGGCUUACCAAGGCUUUGACGGGUAGCCGGCCUGAGAGGGUGACCGGCCACAUUGGGACUGAGAUACGGCCCAGACUCCUACGGGAGGCAGCAGUGGGGAAUAUUGCACAAUGGGCGGAAGCCUGAUGCAGUAACGCCGCGUGCGGGAUGACGGCCUUCGGGUUGUAAACCGCUUUCACCUGUGACGAAGCGUGAGUGACGGUAAUGGGUAAAGAAGCACCGGCUAACUACGUGCCAGCAGCCGCGGUGAUACGUAGGGUGCGAGCGUUGUCCGGAUUUAUUGGGCGUAAAGGGCUCGUAGGUGGUUGAUCGCGUCGGAAGUGUAAUCUUGGGGCUUAACCCUGAGCGUGCUUUCGAUACGGGUUGACUUGAGGAAGGUAGGGGAGAAUGGAAUUCCUGGUGGAGCGGUGGAAUGCGCAGAUAUCAGGAGGAACACCAGUGGCGAAGGCGGUUCUCUGGGCCUUUCCUGACGCUGAGGAGCGAAAGCGUGGGGAGCGAACAGGCUUAGAUACCCUGGUAGUCCACGCUGUAAACGGUGGGUACUAGGUGUGGGGUCCAUUCCACGGGUUCCGUGCCGUAGCUAACGCUUUAAGUACCCCGCCUGGGGAGUACGGCCGCAAGGCUAAAACUCAAAGGAAUUGACGGGGCCCCGCACAAGCGGCGGAGCAUGCGGAUUAAUUCGAUGCAACGCGUAGAACCUUACCUGGGUUUGACAUGGAUCGGGAGUGCUCAGAGAUGGGUGUGCCUCUUUUGGGGUCGGUUCACAGGUGGUGCAUGGCUGUCGUCAGCUCGUGUCGUGAGAUGUUGGGUUAAGUCCCGCAACGAGCGCAACCCUUGUUCACUGUUGCCAGCACGUUAUGGUGGGGACUCAGUGGAGACCGCCGGGGUCAACUCGGAGGAAGGUGGGGAUGACGUCAAGUCAUCAUGCCCCUUAUGUCCAGGGCUUCACGCAUGCUACAAUGGCUGGUACAGAGAGUGGCGAGCCUGUGAGGGUGAGCGAAUCUCGGAAAGCCGGUCUCAGUUCGGAUUGGGGUCUGCAACUCGACCUCAUGAAGUCGGAGUCGCUAGUAAUCGCAGAUCAGCAACGCUGCGGUGAAUACGUUCCCGGGGCU